RNAcentral lists this ribosomal RNA (460 nucleotides) under uncultured bacterium. RNAcentral describes it as "partial 16S ribosomal RNA". It matches the Rfam family "Bacterial small subunit ribosomal RNA", at positions 338 to 795 of the family's 1533-position model. The record is from RNAcentral.
CCUACGGGAGGCAGCAGUGAGGAAUAUUGGUCAAUGGACGAGAGCCUGAACCAGCCAAGUAGCGUGAAGGAUGACUGCCCUAUGGGUUGUAAACUUCUUUUAUAAAGGAAUAAAGUUAAGUACGUGUGCUUUUUUGUAUGUACUAUAUGAAUAAGGAUCGGCUAACUCCGUGCCAGCAGCCGCGGUAAUACGGAGGAUCCGAGCGUUAUCCGGAUUUAUUGGGUUUAAAGGGAGCGUAGACGGAUUGUUAAGUCAGUUGUGAAAGUUUGCGGCUCAACCGGAGAAUUGUAAUUGAUACUGGCUGUCUUGAGUGCAGUUGAGGUAGGCGGAAUUCGUGGUGUAGCGGUGAAAUGCUUAGAUAUCACGAAGAACUCCGAUUGCGAAGGCAGCUUACUAAACUGUCACUGACAUUGAUGCUCGAAAGUGUGGGUAUCAAACAGGAUUAGAUACCCUGGUAGUC